This 68-nucleotide transfer RNA is filed under the name Naria erosa. RNAcentral's name for it is "tRNA-Lys". The record is from RNAcentral. Lineage: Eukaryota; Metazoa; Mollusca; Gastropoda; Littorinimorpha; Cypraeidae.
UCUUAGAUGACUGAGGUAUAAGUGCUAGACUUUUAAUCUAGCUACGGCUGACAUAUAGCCUCUAAGAG